GGAAGGAAAGAAUGGUAAAUUUCAUCCUAAAAUACACAAACAGACAAAAUUACGCACACAAAAAAAUAAUAAAAAAUGUAAUGUAAUGUACAACAACAUUCUUGAAAACCUGUUUUGCUCUCUUUUUCAAUAACUAAAUGCCUUUUUUAGAGGGUUACUCAGAACUGCAUCUUAUUAAAAACCCUAUAUUCUUCAAUACUCUUUUUAUGUUUUUUAGCAAGAGGUAAAAUUAUGCACAACAAACAUUUUUUCAUUAUUUAUUUAUAUUUAUAUAUUUUUUUACAUCUAUAUUUAUAUGCUUUGUUUAUAUAUUUAUAUUUUACAGAAAACGAAGAGCCUGCUCACAAUGAUGCACAUUUUUUUGGGUCAAUCAUUUCACAACAUUUAAUGGACCUAAUGAGGGGUAUUAUAGACUAAUAUAGUUAGUUUCUUUUAAAAUAGUUGGGAAACAGAAAAAUUAGCUUAAAAUAUUUACCUUGACAGAUAAGUAUUCAUGAAGGAAAUUAAAUUCAGCUCAUGCAUUUUGGGUUUCACCCACUACUACUUGCCACUUUUGAUAGUAAGUCAGAAAUGCCACACAAACAACAUAUGGGCGUAAAGUGCCUCAUAGUAGCUAUUAAUGGUUUCCGUAGAACUGGGCUAAAAUUAUGAGAAAGGUGGUUAUGAUCAGUUGUUGUUAAUUAUAACUGCUGCUUUUUUUUUACCAGUAUCUGCCUUCAAAUCUCUUCAUCAUUUUCUUUCUCAGAAUUAGUUUCCCUUAUUUUUAAAAGUGUCAGAAAUAACACUGCCCAAAAUGUUCAGUCUUUUAUGUCAUUAGCCGACAGCAGGUGUUUCGAUGCGGAAAUUCAUUCUUCAAACAGUCUAUGACAUAAGCUUCGAAGCACAAAUAUGGAUACUAUUGUGACUCUCUCAUUUUCUGUCGUAUUCAAAACCACCACUUCUUCUGUUGUGAGAUACACUCGUUAGGAACAAAGAAUUGAGAUCGACAGAUUAGACUUUAAAAAACACAAACCAAUAAGAACAAAAAAUGGAAAUGGGUAUUAGUCUUAAAAUGCCUGGUUGGUGUACCUAUGUUCUUUAACCAGUGUCAAAAUGUUGCCUUUCCUACUCUUUACGUAAACAUUCUCAAGAAUGGAAUUCUGAAGAAAAAAAGAUGUGGAGAGCUGUCAUCUUGAUGCUGGUGGUUGCCCAGGGAGAUGAAAGCAGGGCUGUCAGAUGAUGCUGAGCUGUUUAUUAAAGACAUUUCACCGAUAGGUCAGGGAUGCAUCCAAACAGCUCCACACAUGCUGUCAUCGUACAGCGACACACACAAAGACAGACCCUGCAGCCGUAGCAUUACUAAUUUGCCAUGUAGAUCAUGGUCACAGGAGCAGAAAUCCCAGAGAGGAGUGGGGAAAGGAACAAUGGUUUCUCUGAUGAAGUGCUGGCACUAGUAGUAGGGCAAACCAGAAUCUAAGAGUAUGAUUUAGUCUGAUACGUUGGGUGGAAACAGACACAAAUAAACUAAUCAAACAAGGGGCAAACACUUAAAGCCAUUUAGUAAUAGAAUAAGUUCAAAUAUCAACAAUAAGUGCAGCUUCUGUAGUUUUAUUAGACUAAGUUUUAUUUAAGCUAACUUGGACUGUUCAAAUAACUAAAUUUGUGUUCAAAUUGUGAGCUCCUAAUAAUGACACUAUUGAUGCAACUGACAAAAAAAGAUGAUUGAUAAAGUAUUUAAUAAAGUAAUCAUCUUAUUCUGCUCUUCAAAUGCCGUAACCAUGGUAUUCUCAGACUCAGUGAGCCAGGUUACAUCACUGUGAAUUCAUUAUUGGCUACAAUAAUUCAGAAUUAUUUAUAAAAAACAAAACAAAACAAACAAAAAAAAACAUUGCUAUGCUUUUACUUAGAUGUCCACCUGCUGCCAUGUCAGUGGUGUAUAUAAGUCUUGCAACAUCAUGCUGUGGGAAUAACUUUUUCUCAACAGGGACAAAGACGCUGGUCAGAGUUCGUGGGAAGUUUGAUGCCUGUAAAUACAACGCAAUCCUGGAAGAAAACCUGCAAAAGGCCGGCAGUUUAUCCACAGGUUCAUCCUCCACCAGCACAACAGUCAUAAGCAGAGAGAGAGCUGCAGGAAGUGGAAGGGUUAAGACCCAGGCUGCUCAAAUGCAGUCCUCCAGCUUGCAUGCUUUCAAAAGUUGCAGAAUAGCAUUGUACAGCCCUGGUUUUGAUCAAAGCAUCUUCAUGGGUUUGAAUGGCCAAGUUAAAGUCCUAAACCCAAAUCCAAUUGAAGUCCAACCUGAGUGAGCACAAAUGUUACCCUGUAGAUGUGUAAAACCCCAAAAGACUCACAGUUCUAACUAAGCCUGUCAAAAUAAGCCACUAAUCAACUGAUCAAUUAAUCGCACCAUGAAAUGAACUUGAUCAUUUCCAUUCUGAUAAUUAAUAUUUUUUUUGAAGGGCAACUUGGUUAAUAAUUCUUAAUAAUUCAUUUUAUCUAUGGUUUCAGUAUUUAAGGUUUCAGGUAUUCAGUAUUAUUUUAGAUUGUGUUUUAUUUUGGAUAUUUAAAAUGUGUUCCAGUUCAAGUGCGACAUGUUCUUUAGGAAAUUUUACUAUAAAAAGUUUAUUAGUCUUAUUGGUUGAAAAUGGCCUCAUGACAAUAAUAUUACAGUUUAUUGCAAUAAUCUCUGGGACAAUUUACCAUCCAGCAAAAUUUCUUAAUUUUGCUGGAUGCAAAUUUUGCUAGAUGGUUAAUGACAGUCCUAGCUCUAACUGCAGGAGACAGUGGUUCUAUAAUGUAUUGACUAAAGCUAGGCAAGUGCAAAUAUAUGCCUCAAUUUUCAGAUUUUUAUCUGUAUAGAAAUUGAAAACAUUUAUUCUCAUUUCACUUCAAUAUGGUGCACUGCUGUGUGUUAAUUUAUCAUAUAAAAAAGCAAUAAAAUACAUUAAAAUGUGACCCAAUGUGAAAAAGUUGAAAGAGAGUGGAUAUCUUUGUAAGUUGCAUUAGAUUAAUUUCACCUCAGUGUUAUAUUGUUAUCUUAUAUGUUAUUGUCUUCUGUAUUUAUGACCUUGUGAUGUUUCUUUUAAACUGAUCCCCUGGACCCAGAUUAAUUUUGUUCUCAAGAGCAAACAGGAAGGUGACUACUCAUUUCCAACCAGCUGCCUCUUUCUGUUUCAAAAUAAACGUGUCAUUCCUUGACAGUGUAAAGACGUUUCUACCUGCAUGUGAGAAGUAGCAGAGCUGUGACCAUAUUUUUAUUUCCUUACAUAAAUCACUUUCUCUUCUAUCUCCCUGUCUUUUUCCAAAUAUACACCUCGCCCACCAAACCACGGACAUGUGCACCUAGACAUAUCUAAGCCUACAUCAACAAGAACUUCACCACCCCUGGUAGUGGCAGGCUGAAACCAAGACUUAAGAAAAUAAAUAAUGUGCUACAAUGUGCUGUCUGUGCUCUGCUUUGCCUCCGAGGGAGAAGUCCUCCCAUUUGUAGUCUCUCUCCUUCACCUAAGCAUUUUCAUACAACAAAUCCCAUCAGAAAGGACCCUUCAUACAAGUGUGAGUGUUACAAAAUCACCACAUGGGGAUCAUUUUGCUGCAGUUAAGGACUCUCCGCCUGCUUUUAGUUUGUGAUGUUUGCUCCUUGUGCACUACACCGACUUGUCACCCAGCCUCCACCAGAGGCACAGCUGAGCCGCUUUCUGUACAGGUUUCAACAAGCUUUUCAUUCCAUUCUAUUAAUAUGAUGCUUUUAAUUCCAUUCCUCCGUCAUUCACAACUGGACCUCUCAUCUAUGUUGUUCUUUUUUUGCUUUUGCUUUUGUUUUUUCUUUUUUUUACUUAGCGUAACCCGACGAAUCACAUUGUAAUGGGGAAAGUCAGACCUCUUUGAAGGGGUUGAGAUUUUGGGGCCAGGCCAUAUGAGCUGAGGGAAAUGACCUACUAACUUUUCAAAACAUCUCUGUGGCUGACUUGGGGGGGGGAGCUGAGCUCUCCCGCCAUGAUUGGCAAAAGCUUAAAAAGGUGUUUCAGGGCUCAGUGACGAUGUUAUCACGCAGUAAGCUGCCUUAAUGGACUUCCAACUGUUUGUGUGAAGGACUCCCGUAAUGACAGGGACAAACUGAUAACAGUCUCUGUUACAAACUGCACAAAGGAGCCGUCAGACCAUGUCACGGAUGAUGAGCACAUUCAUUCAGAUAUAUAGACAGCAGUGGCGGAAAUCACACCCACAUGGUCACAUGACUCAUAUUUCCUGGGCCAUCUUCCUCCUUUUAAUGACAUUGGUGGCGGAAAAAAAAUGGCGGCCAGUUCACUCUGUUCCUGUCAGCUUCGGUCUCUUCCCAGCUCUGUGCAGAACAGGUAUUUCCAAAGACACUCCUGCGCCAAAACCAAGCGUCGCUACUGGAGGUGCCCCGACAGGUCGGCGCAGUAAUGCACGCCUGGCAAAGGCUUCCUUUCUCUCAAACUAGCAACCUGAUUUGGUUCCCAUGCUGCAACAGUUUGGAACGAGGAUCUACCCCGUCCCAGAAUCCUGCUGCAGAUUUCCGGUUUUAAAGACAAGCAGUUUGGCACUGCAGAGGACAGCAGCACCCCCUGUGGCCACUAUGACAACUACAAGAGACAUCAGAGGAGCCUAAAAACAUGUGCUUUGAAUACGGCCUCCUGAUCACCUUUGCCUCUUCAAAUAGGUUUGUGGUAAACUCUGCCUGAAUAAAGAACUGCAAUAUGGCUCAUUUUCACAUACUUGUUGUUGCUCAUUAUUCAUCACCUCACAAAGAAAGAAUGUUGUUUUGUCUCCUCUUUCAGACUUGUGGGUUGCCUGCCUUACACACACGCACACACACGCCCAUACACGCGCACACAUAGGAGAAGCAGCAGCCAGAGUGUGUGGUCAUAACCACAUCAUCUACAAGUACCAUGCAUAUAAGGAAACCACAGCAGCAGAAUAAUCAUUGUAUUGAUGAGAGAGGAUGUUGUUUUUCCCUCGUUGUUUUUCUACCACUCAUCCUAUAUCACACUCUUACAUUUUCCAUUUUAUCACAAAAUUACACAUAAUGAAGUGCAAUUUAAAUAGUUGUAUCAGUUCCACUUUCCAGUUUGCAUCAGAAAUGUAAGCUGAUGGUAAUGUACUAUGCCUUGUAAAUGUAUUUGU
This is a long non-coding RNA of Gambusia affinis (western mosquitofish), 5125 nucleotides long. RefSeq lists it as uncharacterized. Lineage: Eukaryota; Metazoa; Chordata; Actinopteri; Cyprinodontiformes; Poeciliidae. The record is from RefSeq and is a predicted model, not a curated record. The transcript has 3 exons.